ACGAACGCUGGCGGCAUGCCUAACCCAUGCCAGUCGAACGAGACCUUCGGGUCUAGUGGCGCACGGGUGCGUAACGCGUGGGAACCUGCCCUUAGGUUCGGAAUAACUCCCCGAAAGGGGUGCUAAUACCGGAUAAUGUCUUCGGACCAAAGAUUUAUCGCCUUUGGAUGGGCCCGCGUUGGAUUAGCUAGUUGGUAGGGUAAAAGCCUACCAAGGCGACGAUCCAUAGCUGGUCUGAGAGGAUGAUCAGCCACACUGGGACUGAGACACGGCCCAGACUCCUACGGGAGGCAGCAGUGGGGAAUAUUGGGCAAUGGGCGAAAGCCUGAUCCAGCAAUGCCGCGUGAGUGAUGAAGGCCUUAGGGUUGUAAAGCUCUUUUACCCGGGAUGAUAAUGACAGUACCGGGAGAAUAAGCUCCGGCUAACUCCGUG
RNAcentral lists this ribosomal RNA (432 nucleotides) under uncultured bacterium. RNAcentral describes it as "partial 16S ribosomal RNA". It matches the Rfam family "Bacterial small subunit ribosomal RNA", at positions 29 to 507 of the family's 1533-position model. The record is from RNAcentral.